This 465-nucleotide ribosomal RNA is filed under the name uncultured bacterium. RNAcentral's name for it is "partial 16S ribosomal RNA". It matches the Rfam family "Bacterial small subunit ribosomal RNA", at positions 28 to 507 of the family's 1533-position model. The record is from RNAcentral.
GAUGAACGCUGGCGGCGUGCUUAACACAUGCAAGUCGAACGGAAAGGCUCCUGCUUGCCGGGGUACUCGAGUGGCGAACGGGUGAGUAACACGUGGGUGAUCUGCCCUGCACUUCGGGAUAAGCCUGGGAAACUGGGGCUCAUACCGGAUAGGACGAUGGUUUGGAUGCCGUUGUGGAAAGAUUUUCGGUUUGGGAUUGGCUCGCGGCCUAUCAGCUUGUUGGUGGGGUAAUGGCUUACCAAGCCGUCGACGGGUAGACGGCCUGAGAGGGUAGACGGCCACAUUGGGACUGAGAGACGGCCCAGACUCCUACGGGAGGCAGCAGUGGGGAAUAUUACACAAUAGGCGCAAGCCUGAUGCAGCGACGCCGCGUGGGGGAUGACGGCCUUCGGGUGGUAAACUCCUGUCGCUAGGGACGAAGCGCAAGUGACGGUACCUGGAGAAGAAGCACCGGCUAACUACGUG